Molecule: long non-coding RNA, 2307 nt
Filed under: Daphnia pulex (common water flea)
Lineage: Eukaryota; Metazoa; Arthropoda; Branchiopoda; Diplostraca; Daphniidae
Description: uncharacterized LOC124208458
Source: RNAcentral
AGUCGAGUGAGCAUCUGCGACACGGCAACAACUGCUGUGCACUAUUUGUCACUAAAUCGCAAUCAUGAUAAAAUGUGGCGUCGUCCUGCUGUUGGUUGUUGUCCUCAAAUCCUCAAAUACUACACCACCGAGGCUUCAAAGUAUUACACUACAAUUUAUGCUGCCCCGAGCUGCAUCACCAAAGAGCCCGGACCCACCCCCAGCAACGGUAACCUGCAGAAGGAAAAGGCCAGUUUGCAUGUCCUUGACGUUCGAAGGGAGAUCAUUACGUAAAACGUGUCAUGCGGUGGUUAAGAGGUUGGGUGAGAACGGGAAGCGUUUGCUUCAUUAUCAAGCAGGUAUAAUAGCCGCAAGGCUCAAGAGGUGAGGGUGAGGAAAAAUCGUAUAAAAAGAAGAGAGAAAAGGCUAUGGGAACUCAGUCGAGUGAGAAUCUCCGACACGGCAACAACUGCAGCUCAUUAUUUGUCACCAACUGCCUUCUUCAUUGUUAUACCGUUUUGCAAUCACGGGUAUCAACAACUAUGGCGCCGUGCUGCUGUUUGGUGUUGUAUGGUUAAUGGUUGGGUCGACCACGGGUGAACCGAUGUCUCCUGGACUUGGUGGAUACCAAGCAACAGCAGCGAAAGAAUAGUGCACCACGUCGCCGCCUUACUACACAACAACGUCUAGAUACGCAACAUCUACUUGCUGCGCCGAGGCUCCUAAGUACUACACCACCGAGUAUACUGUCCCAGCCUACUACACCGAAGUCCCCUAGUACUACACGACUACGAAUGCUGCCCCAUCUUACUACACCGAGGCUCCAUCUUAUUUCAAUACCAAAGCGGUCGAGUACUACACCGAACCGCACGAGUACUACUCUGCCCCGAACUACACAACCACAACUGAGGCGGCCAAGUACUACUUAGCCCAGACUUGCUGUUCCUUCCCUCUACGUUUAACUGUAAUACUACACCGAGGAUCCAGUCUUCUACACCAUAACCUACGCUACAUCCAGAUACUACGACGAAGCCCCCAACUACUACUACACCGAAAUGUUUACUUCAUUAAGUAUAACUCUGCUCCAAGCUACACCAAGGCCACCGAGUAAUACACUACAACCAAAUGUCAACUAUGGCGUCGUGCUGCUGUUGGCUGUUGUAUCCUUGACGGUUAAGUCGACCACUGGUGUACCGAUGUCUCGGGGGAAUGUGGAUACCAAACCGCGACGCCGCCGUCUUAUAACACAACAGCAAACGCAACAACCGGUUACUUCACCACCAAUUCCCUGGAGUAUAAUCCACAACUGAUGUCCCGAACUACUACACCGAGGCCCCAAAGUAUAACUCCGCCCCGAGUUACACCACCAAGGAACCGUUGUUACUACACCACCAAGGCACCGGAGUAACUACACCACCAAGGCACCGGAGUAACUACACCACCAAGGCACCGGAGUAACUACACCACCAAGGCACCGGAGUAACUACACCACCAAGGCACCGGAGUUACUACACCACCAAGGCACCGGAGUUACUACACCACCAAGGCACCGGAGUUACUACACCACCAAGGCACCGGAGUUACUACACCACCAAGGCACCGGAGUUACUACACCACCAAGGCACCGGAGUUACUACACCACCAAGGCACCGGAGUUACUACACCACCAAGGCACCGGAGUUACUACACCACCAAGGCACCGGAGUUACUACACCACCAAGGCACCGGAGUUACUACACCACCAAGGCACCGGAGUUACUACACCACCACGUAUGCUGCCCAAGCCUUUUACACCGAGGCCUAAGUACUACUCCGUUCCCAGCUACUUCACCAAGGCUACAGCUUAUUACGCCACCAAAGCGGGCAAAUACUACACCGAAGCGUCCUAGGACUACUCUGCACCGAAUUACUACACAGCGGCUGCUCCCUCGUACUACGUUGGAUCGAAAUACUAGACUGAGGUUCCAGUUUACUACACUACAACCCACGCUGCCUUCAGCUAACAUACCGAGGCUUCGCUCCCAUACCGAUGCUCCUAAGUACUAUACAAUUAAGGCACCCGAGUAUUACAUCACUACUUAGGCUGCUCCCACCUACUGCAUCGAAGCUGCGAAGUAUUCCACUGCCCUGAGUUACUACACCAUUAAGGCACCUGAAUGUUACAUCACAACCUUCGCUUCUCCAGUUUACUACAGGGAGGAUCUUAAAUACUAUAGCCAAAAUUUCUGACUUAUCUAAUUGUGUUCAAAUUUGUCGGUCACAUCUUAAUAGUUACUAAUCACUUGGAAUCGUUGAGCUUAAAUGAGAAAAUAAAUUUUUUUAUGGUAA